UGGCGGACGGGUGAGUAACGCGUGGGUAACCUGCCUUGUACUGGGGGACAACAGUUGGAAACGACUGCUAAUACCGCAUAAGCGCACAGCUUCGCAUGAAGCAGUGUGAAAAACUCCGGUGGUACAAGAUGGACCCGCGUCUGGUUAGCUGGUUGGUGAGGUAACGGCCCACCAAGGCAACGAUCAGUAGCCGGCCUGAGAGGGUGAACGGCCACAUUGGGACUGAGACACGGCCCAA
Molecule: ribosomal RNA, 238 nt
Filed under: uncultured bacterium
Lineage: Bacteria
Description: partial 16S ribosomal RNA
Rfam family: Bacterial small subunit ribosomal RNA
Source: RNAcentral